Long non-coding RNA from Sphaeramia orbicularis (orbiculate cardinalfish), 132 nucleotides. RefSeq lists it as uncharacterized. The record is from RefSeq and is a predicted model, not a curated record. NCBI's taxonomy places the organism in Eukaryota, Metazoa, Chordata, Actinopteri, Kurtiformes, Apogonidae. The transcript has 3 exons.
UUAAUUGGAGAUAUCAGGGGUGUUUAGGGGGUAUUAAAGGGUUAAUUCCGACUUAUGCGGAAAUUCAGGUUACGUCGCCAUCAUAGGAACGGAACUCGUUCGUAACCCGAGGACCUCCUGUACAAGUUUCAA